GGAAAGGUGGCAGAGUGGUUGAAUGCAUCGCACUCGAAAUGCGACAGUCGUUUAGGCGGCUCGGGAGUUCAAAUCUCCUCCUUUCCUCCA
This 90-nucleotide transfer RNA is filed under the name Aeromonadales bacterium. RNAcentral describes it as "tRNA-Ser". It matches the Rfam family "tRNA". Rfam says of the family: Transfer RNA (tRNA) molecules are approximately 80 nucleotides in length. Their secondary structure includes four short double-helical elements and three loops (D, anti-codon, and T loops). Lineage: Bacteria; Pseudomonadati; Pseudomonadota; Gammaproteobacteria; Aeromonadales. The record is from RNAcentral.